Molecule: ribosomal RNA, 622 nt
Filed under: Bacillus subtilis
Lineage: Bacteria; Bacillati; Bacillota; Bacilli; Caryophanales; Bacillaceae
Description: bacterial SSU rRNA
Rfam family: Bacterial small subunit ribosomal RNA
Source: RNAcentral
AGCGGACAGAUGGGAGCUUGCUCCCUGAUGUUAGCGGCGGACGGGUGAGUAACACGUGGGUAACCUGCCUGUAAGACUGGGAUAACUCCGGGAAACCGGGGCUAAUACCGGAUGCUUGUUUGAACCGCAUGGUUCAAACAUAAAAGGUGGCUUCGGCUACCACUUACAGAUGGACCCGCGGCGCAUUAGCUAGUUGGUGAGGUAAUGGCUCACCAAGGCGACGAUGCGUAGCCGACCUGAGAGGGUGAUCGGCCACACUGGGACUGAGACACGGCCCAGACUCCUACGGGAGGCAGCAGUAGGGAAUCUUCCGCAAUGGACGAAAGUCUGACGGAGCAACGCCGCGUGAGUGAUGAAGGUUUUCGGAUCGUAAAGCUCUGUUGUUAGGGAAGAACAAGUACCGUUCGAAUAGGGCGGUACCUUGACGGUACCUAACCAGAAAGCCACGGCUAACUACGUGCCAGCAGCCGCGGUAAUACGUAGGUGGCAAGCGUUGUCCGGAAUUAUUGGGCGUAAAGGGCUCGCAGGCGGUUUCUUAAGUCUGAUGUGAAAGCCCCCGGCUCAACCGGGGAGGGUCAUUGGAAACUGGGGAACUUGAGUGCAGAAGAGGAGAGUGGAAUUC